RNAcentral lists this ribosomal RNA (717 nucleotides) under uncultured fungus. RNAcentral describes it as "SSU rRNA". It matches the Rfam family "Eukaryotic small subunit ribosomal RNA", at positions 384 to 1102 of the family's 1831-position model. The record is from RNAcentral. Lineage: Eukaryota; Fungi.
CGGAGAGGGAGCCUGAGAAACGGCUACCACAUCCAAGGAUGGCAGCAGGCGCGCAAAUUACCCAAUCCCGACACGGGGAGGUAGUGACAAUAAAUAACAAUACGGGGUUCUUUAGGAUCUCGUAAUUGGAAUGAGUACAAUUUAAAUCUCUUAACGAGGAACAAUUGGAGGGCAAGUCUGGUGCCAGCAGCCGCGGUAAUUCCAGCUCCAAUAGCGUAUAUUAAAGUUGUUGCAGUUAAAAAGCUCGUAGUUGAAUUUCGGGGUUAGUAGGUUGGUCAUGCCUCUGGUAUGUACUGGUCUCACUGAUUCCUCCUUCCUUAUGAACCGUAAUGCCAUUAAUUUGGUGUUGCGGGGAAUUUGGACUGUUACUUUGAAAAAAUUAGAGUGUUUAAAGCAAGCUAACGCUUGAAUACAUUAGCAUGGAAUAAUGAAAUAGGACGUUCGAUCUUAUUUUGUUGGUUUCUAGGAUUGACGUAAUGAUUAAUAGGGAUAGUUGGGGGCAUUAGUAUUCAAUUGUCAGAGGUGAAAUUCUUGGAUUUAUUGAAGACUAACUACUGCGAAAGCAUUUGCCAAGGAUGUUUUCAUUAAUCAAGAACGAAAGUUAGGGGAUCGAAGACGAUCAGAUACCGUCGUAGUCUUAACCAUAAACUAUGCCGACUAGGGAUCGGAUGAUGUUAAUUUUUUAAUGACUCAUUCGGCGCCUUACGGGAAACCAAA